RNAcentral lists this ribosomal RNA (494 nucleotides) under uncultured bacterium. RNAcentral's name for it is "partial 16S ribosomal RNA". It matches the Rfam family "Bacterial small subunit ribosomal RNA", at positions 28 to 507 of the family's 1533-position model. The record is from RNAcentral.
GACGAACGCUGGCGGCGUGCUUAACACAUGCAAGUCGAACGGAAAGGCCUGCUUUCCCUUGUGGAUUGCGGGUACUCGAGUGGCGAACGGGUGAGUAACACGUGAGUGAUCUGCCCCCAACUUGGGUAUAAGCCUGGGAAACUGGGUCUAAUUCCCGAUAGGACUGCAGGGUGGUGCCUGUGGUGGAAAACGAUUUUCUAGUGGUUGGGGAUGAGCUCGCGGCCUAUCAGCUUGUUGGUGGGGUAAUGGCCUACCAAGGCGGCGACGGGUAGCCGGCCUGGGAGGGUGGACGGCCACAUUGGGACUGAGAUACGGCCCAGACUCCUACGGGAGGCAGCAGUGGGGAAUAUGACACAAUGGGCGGAAGCCUGAUGCAGCGACGCCGCGUGGGGGAUGACGGCCUUCGGGUUGUAAACUCCUUUCGACCGCGAGGAAGCCACCUGGUUGGAAGGGUGGUGACGGUAGUGGUAGAAGAAGCACCGACUAACUACGUG